GACGGAGGAUGCAAGCGUUAUCCGGAAUUAUUGGGCGUAAAGCGUCCGUAGGCGGUUUCAAAAGUCUGUUGUUAAAGCCCACAGCUCAACUGUGGAUCGGCAAUGGAAACUGUGAGACUAGAGAGUGGUAGGGGUAGAGGGAAUUCCUAGUGUAGCGGUGAAAUGCGUAGAUAUCUGGAGGAACACCGGUGGCGAAGGCGGCAUCCUGGACCGAGAUCGACGCUGAGGCGCGAAAGCUAGGGGAGCAAACGGG
RNAcentral lists this ribosomal RNA (253 nucleotides) under uncultured bacterium. Its description in RNAcentral is "partial 16S ribosomal RNA". It matches the Rfam family "Bacterial small subunit ribosomal RNA", at positions 524 to 776 of the family's 1533-position model. The record is from RNAcentral.